UGUUCUUUACUUAUUUUGUACAUAAUGUUGCUGCUACCGUCUGUUACGACUGAAAAUCACAUCAGAACAGCGAUUACUCACCUGUAACUGGAUAAAGAUUUUUAUUUAACGAGUCCGACGCGAAGGAUAUACUGCUUUCUCAGGAACGGGUCAAAUUCCCGUCAUUUGCGCGAAGAAAAGACAGAGAAAAAGGGAGUGGAGGUCGGGCUGUCUUCUGAGAAUUCAAGUCGUGGCUGAACAACGACAAGGAUAAUAUAGAGGUGGCAGGAUUUUCCAUGCAUAGGCAGGACAGAGAAGCUAUGUCUGGGCAUGUUAGAGGAAGAGGUGUUUCUCCAUGUGCUGGGCUGGGAAGGGAUGUAUGGAGUACUGAUGAACAUGCCCCAGAGGGACACAGAAGCUCAGGGACUGCAGGAGAGUGUACAGAUCCUGGGACAAACCAACAGAGCGCUGAGCCUCUGAGCCACAGAGCUCCAGGACAAAGAAUGAAUUAAGCUCAUACAUUAGGUUACACUGAGGAUAACUAACAUUGUUCCAUAUACAGUAACAAUGUCUAAACAUGACCCAUCAAGCUCAUUCAAGCGAUUUAUGUUGUCUCGUCAAUAGUGAUUUAUGUAUAGCAAAAAAAAAAAAAAUGAAAACAGAAUGCAUUUGAUGACUAAAGAGAGUUGUUGAAAACAAAUCUGCCCCAUCUCCAAUGCAUAAAGGAGAGUUAGCGAAUUUUGACCAAAGGAGGGCAUCGUUGUCCUCUUUUCAAGUGAGGUGGUGUGUUAAAUGUACGUCAAGAAGGCGGCAGAAUAUCCUUUCCUGACCAGGAUUGGCCAAGCGUAAGGUGGCAGCAGAGUGGCUUGUAAACAGACAACGUGAGCUAGGCAGGUUCAGUAACACUCUUCCCCUGCUCUUCCUGACGCAGUGUCUUCCUGACACAUCAUUGAAUCAGCAGGCUCAUGGUUCCUGAUGUCUGUCUCGCUCCUCUUAUGGCCCCCUCUGUUUGCGUGGCAGUUUCUCUUUGUGCAUCUGAAAUCCCCUCACCUCUGGCAGGUUCAUUUCUAGGUCAGCCAUCUGACUGGGACAUGAAGCAAGGUAACAUGGGGACAGACUGUGAAUGAAACCUGAAUGGAUGAUUACCAGCACAGUACAUGACUCCUUUAAUUGCGGCAUGUUGUCUUGAAAAAUACAUUUAACUAAAACAACAAUCACAAAAUAUUGGUCAAAUGUAAAGAUUUAGUGAUGGACAAAGACAGAGAACGUUAGAAACAUGAUGUCUCUGAUUAUUUAAGUAUAAUGCUGCCUUUAAAUAGUAAUACUAUUGCCCAAAUAAUGGGUUAAGCAAACAAACCGUUGACCAUCUAACAUGGACACUAAUACUGACAUGCCCCUGUCAAUCUUCCUCUGCAUUUGACUGAGUUGUUCUGACAGGUAGAAGCUUGCAACAAGGCACUGCUAGGCCUCAGGGCCUGCUGUGUUUCCUAGACCAACUGAAAUACCCUGCUGACCCCACUGAUCCAUCUGGAGGCCAAGACAUUUGGGUGAUGUUGUUAUCCAUUGCGCUUCAAUUCACACACUGGGUUACUUCCCCCUGUCAUUGUGUGAGUGUGAGGGAUCCAGCAUCACCCUAACCUAUGUCGUUUGCAUGUUGUGUGGGGUGAGUGUGUGUGUGUGUGUGUGUUUGUAUGUGUGUAACUCACACGCCGUCUGAGAUGACGGGGCUUGCUCUGGGUCCUCAGUGUUGAGUGUCAUGAACAAAUGAAGCAGCCAACCAGAGGACACAAUAUGUAACUACCUCAAGCUCUUACUAGAAAUGGGUUGCCUGGAGUCACCUCUAAUGAAAGUAAAUGGAAUUGAGAGGUCCAGCGGGUUUCAACAACAACAAAAAUAUCCACAGCGAGUGGUACGUUAUUUUUGAGGUGUUAGGUCGGGAAAACAAUCAUUGCGGAAAAGCGCAAUGUUCCCUUGUUCGUGGAGACCAUAUUCACAGUAAAUGCUGCAUAUGUCAGUCAAUGGAAAUUACCUUUAAAUGGCGUAUUGUCCAGAUCUGCAAUCAGAUUGAAUCCCAGCCUUUUUUUAUGCAAAGUAAAUCAAAUCCUUGUGAUAGAAGGAACAUGGAAUAACAAAAGAGUGGAUACUGUAAGCGUAACUCAUAUUUUUCAUAUUGUUAUGGGGUAGGUAGGGGCAGAUCUGAGCCCCCCCCCUCAAAAACUGUAAUGGGAUUUACACUACCGUUUAAAAGUUUUAGAACACCUACUCAUUCAAGGGUUUUUCUUUCUUUCUUUUUUUGACUAUUUUCUACAUUGUAAAAUAACAGUGAAAACAUCAAAAUUAUGAAAUAACACAGUAGUAACCAUUUGUUAAACAAAUCAAAUCAUUAAAUCAUUUGAGAUUCUUCAAAUAGCCACCCUUUGCCUUGAUGACAGCUUUGCACACUCUUGGCAUUCUCUCAACCAGCUUCAUGAGGUUGUCACCUGGAAUGCAUUUCAAUUAACAGGUGUGAUUUCUUAAAAGUUAUUCUCUUAAUGCGUUUGAACCAAUAAUAAAGAAAAACCCAUGAAUGAGUAGGUGUGUCCAACCUUUGUCCGGUAGUGUAUAUGUAAUUUAACUGUAUAAUUGUAUGACCUUUUAAUGUGCCAUGAACACAACCAGUCAUGUUUUCAUCUGAUUGUCAAAUCACUUCAAAAAGUAGGUUAGCUCUGCAUGUUCAUACAAAAUAAUUCCAGCAUCCGAACAGUGCACUGUGAACCCGCUAACUCUCCUUCAAUUUGCAAGUGACUGAAACUAUCUCACCUGAGAAAGCAUCCGAACUAGCGAAACAACGCCCCUCUGUCUUACUAUAUGUAGCCCAUGUAUCUGAUGCUAUCUGGCCAAAAAGAGUAUGACAUGCCAUAAUAUUUUUGGCCAGACAGCAUCAGAUACAUGGGCUACACAUACAGUACAUUUCCUCUGUCUUGAUGACGAUGGCAGUAUUAGCAGCAGCAUCCGUCUUUUAACUAAAGAAAUAGAAAGUGUAUUAUCCUAGAGCAGGGUUACCCAACUGGCAGCCCGUGAUUUUAUUUGGUCCCCAAGUUUUCAGAAUUAAUUUUAAAAAAUUGUUGGACAUAAAAUACUUUAAAAAACACCAGCAAAUCAGUUCCAAGUGAUUUUAAUUUUGUAAAUCUGUUCCAAAGUAUUACCAUGCAUAAAAGAGAGAUAUGUGAUUGUAUACAAAUGUAAGCAAGUUUUGAAAUGAUGUUUUAGUCAAAUAUUAUAUCUGUUUGGGCUUCUUGCAGUCAAUUUGCAGUCUACAAAUGAUUUGUAAAUAAAAGGAAAGGGGA
Oncorhynchus kisutch (coho salmon) is the source of this 3305-nucleotide long non-coding RNA. RefSeq lists it as uncharacterized. The record is from RefSeq and is a predicted model, not a curated record. Lineage: Eukaryota; Metazoa; Chordata; Actinopteri; Salmoniformes; Salmonidae. The transcript has 3 exons.